UGUGGUUUAUNUCGAAGCAACGCGAAGAACCUUACCANAUCUUGACNUCCUUUGACNACUCUAGAGAUAGAGCCUCCCCCUUCGGUGGGACCAAGUGACNGGUGGUGCAUGGUUGUCGUCAGCUCGUGUCGUGAGAUGUUGGGUUAAGUCCCGCAACGAGCGCAACCCUUAAGCUUAGUUGCCAUCAUUAAGUUGGGCACUCUAAGUUGACUGCCGGUGACAAACCGGAGGAAGGUGGGGAUGACGUCAAAUCAUCAUGCCCCUUAUGAUUUGGGCUACACACGUGCUACAAUGGACAAUACAAAGGGCAGCGAAACCGCGAGGUCAAG
Molecule: ribosomal RNA, 329 nt
Filed under: lignin enrichment culture L-81
Lineage: Bacteria
Description: bacterial SSU rRNA
Rfam family: Bacterial small subunit ribosomal RNA
Source: RNAcentral